Long non-coding RNA from Nematostella vectensis (starlet sea anemone), 195 nucleotides. RefSeq lists it as uncharacterized. Lineage: Eukaryota; Metazoa; Cnidaria; Anthozoa; Actiniaria; Edwardsiidae. The transcript is spliced from 2 exons. The record is from RefSeq and is a predicted model, not a curated record.
GCGAGUACAUGGAGAUGAGUCAUGAGUGAACAGAGGCGAGUACAUAGGGAUCGGUCUUGUACAGAAACCGGUCCCAACAGCGUAAAAUGGCGCUUCCUUUUAAGGCUGUGGGGUACGCUGUAAGUGGCAGGGAACACUCACCAGUUGGUCACGGCUUCUUCUGGCGUCUGCCCCUUAUCUGAAGAGCAUCCAAAA